GUAAAAACAAUCGAAAUCGACCAUCAUCAAUGAAAUUUCGGAACUGAAGCACACCCAGCUAGUGGUCGUUGGCCACAUUUCCGGAUGACGGUACGAGAACAUUGAAAAUCCUCCCAGUGAAUACAUUGCAGAUGAUAAUCUCAAGCUCAAUCUUGCGUUGAUUGCAAGGAGUCGGACUGGGCUCUGUCACUUCCAGAAACCUCGUCAGUCUUGGAUACCAGCGGAUAGACGGAAAAGGAGUUGGUCAUUGAUGAGGAUCAGUUACCGGAUUCGAAUUGCAGCACUGCUACUAAACAAAUCUCCGACACCGCCUAGCCAGUGCUGAAAAUCAAGGUUCUAUUAGAAGCAAGAUUGAAGACAUUGAAUGAACAAUCACUAUAGGACGGCAGCUUCAUAUAUUCGACCGCAUGUCCUGAAAAUAUUAACGGUAUAACGAAGAGUUUCAACAAGACAGACUGGAGGACAACUGGAGGAGAUCCCAAGCGUGCAACUGACUUCUGGGAGAACAACGUCUCGACGGAAGUAAGUCGUACGUGUCCAAUCAUGCCUGGUGAAUUUCCAAUCACAACCUUGUGCAUUCUGUACGGGAGUUCAGGUUUGAACGAGAUACUAUUCUCCAUUUGCUGCUGCCAACCAUGCCGUCAGUAUUGUGUGCGUACAUACAGCAUUUGGAGGAUAAACCAACAGGACCAACUUGGGCCUAAUGAAAUUGACCUGCUUCGCGAUGAACUACACCGCGUUCUCCUCAAACAAAGGCGUUCAAUCGAUUCAAUUGAAUGUGUUCGUGGUGAACCGUGUGCUAAAUACGUGCAACGUGGCUACAGGUAAAAAGGAAAGUGGGCACAAUUCUGCUGUAUAUAUGCUGUAUAGUAUGGAGUAUGCCGGAGGAAAACGCCAAAUUAGGGAAGAAAACUACCGGAUUCAGAUGUAAUUGUGGGCAAUAUUCAGUAUACAAUAACAAUAUGCUGAUACCCGAUCAUGUCCAUACCAUGAAUAUGUCCAAAACGACAACGUAAUAGCAAACUUGGCCUUACUUGCCAUUGAACUUUGUUAGCGCCUUGGAUAAAAGCGCUAUGAACGAAAUCGUAUUACUCAUAUAUCAAAAGCACCGGCAGCAGUUACAACAAUUUCUAUUGCUAGAAAA
This is a long non-coding RNA of Armigeres subalbatus, 1144 nucleotides long. RefSeq lists it as uncharacterized. The transcript has 2 exons. The record is from RefSeq and is a predicted model, not a curated record. NCBI's taxonomy places the organism in Eukaryota, Metazoa, Arthropoda, Insecta, Diptera, Culicidae.